Molecule: long non-coding RNA, 1002 nt
Filed under: Heterocephalus glaber (naked mole-rat)
Lineage: Eukaryota; Metazoa; Chordata; Mammalia; Rodentia; Bathyergidae
Description: lncRNA (ENSHGLG00000029198.2)
Source: RNAcentral
GUUUUGAAAGAAAAAUCUCCAGAGUUACCAUAAGGAGAAUGCAGAAAACAAUGAUUUCAAAAUGACCCCGCCCCCCAACCUCUGCAACUCCGCCGAAAUAUCAGCAAUUUGGUUCUGGUAAAGCAUGAACUGGGAUUUUCCAUUCUGACGAGUAAAUGGAGUCUCUGCUUCAGGAGACGCACAGGGAGCAGCUGUCCGAGCCCCGGAGCGAGCUCGGCUCGGGCGAUCUAUCCGGGUGCGGGGCGGCGGCCGCGCCAACUAGAUUCCUCGCCUUCUCCCUUCGAACCGGCCACCAAACGCCGCCGCUCCUUUUCUCAGUCUCCUGGGCUCCAGGAGGAGCGCAGCAUCCGGGCCCUUCCCCCUCCAGCGUCGAAGGUUGCGGGCGGAACUGAGCGCACGCGAGGCUCGAAGGCGACUGCAGUCGGCCCUUCCCGGAGUCCCGCUUCGGGGCCGUCCCUGGGCGCUGCGCGUUGGUCAACGUAACCCGGCAUUUCUCCGAGGAGAGGCCUAAAAAUGAGUGGGGCUGCCGCCCGACUCCUGUGAGAGCCUCGGGGCUUCCAUUCCCGACACCAGGAGGAAAGACCGGCAUUUCUUCCUCGGGCGAAGAACCCAGUUGUCCAGGCUGGGCUCAAAGAUGGGACUCUCUUGCAUCAGCUUUCCAGAGUGCUGGGAUUACACGUGUGCGCCACGGAAUCUGGCUACCGAGCACUUAUUAAAAUUUUUGAUAUGGUUUCCUGGAUGAAACAGUGACAAAAUCAAGAGAGCUAACCUUGCUUACCCUGCCCAACCCACUUGUGUGAUAUGUUAGCUCCCUGGUCCCUGCUUGAUUCAGACACUACAGAAGAUGUGGGCAUUCUGGCUUCAUUGAUGUGAUGUGCUCUCUAUGAAUUAAAAUUGCAAUUAAUUAUUUUACAUGAAAAUAUGCCUUCUAUGAGAGUGAUACAGACUUCAGCAAAUUUUAACAACUUAUUUUGUAUAUUAACAUUUAUUAAAGACUUUCUU